RNAcentral lists this microRNA precursor (183 nucleotides) under Oryza meridionalis. RNAcentral's name for it is "MIR812 microRNA precursor family". It matches the Rfam family "MIR812 microRNA precursor family". The record is from Rfam by way of RNAcentral. Lineage: Eukaryota; Viridiplantae; Streptophyta; Magnoliopsida; Poales; Poaceae.
CCUACGAUUGACCGUGUCCAAAAAUUGACCGUCUGUUUAUUUAAAAAAAUUAUGGUUACUAUCUUUAUUAUUAUUAUUUGAUGAUAAAACAUAAAUAGUAUUUUAUGUAUGGCUAACUUUUUAAUUUUUUUAAUAAGACGGACGAUUAAACAUUAGACACGAAAAUCCACAACUACAUUUAUA